CACAGUGAAAGAGUCAGUUCUUGGAUAUAUUUUUUUAAAUUAUUUAUUUUUUUGUCAGAGUUGCAGUUGUGGAGUUACAUAACCAAAGCAUCUAGAGCUCAGAUGGAAGAUGGUGCUCAGAUCUAGGUACUCAGAUGGCUGGCAGAGAUUUCUUUCAGAGUUCAGACUAUUGUUUUAAGUUAUCAGAUAGUUCCUCAGUACACAUUCUGUUCUUGCUUUUAAAGACAUUUGUAUCCUGUAAACCAGUAUCAUAUUUUGCUUUUCGUGGAAACUAAUCUACAAAACAGUUCUUUAAAACUGGGAAUUACUCUGUGGAAAAUUCUGCAGCCAUGUAGCCCUGAAUUGCAGAGGCCUCAGAGCAUAAUGUUGUGGAUAACUGAACUUGUAACAGGUGUUCAUGUUGAGGGAGAAAUGCAGUCAUUCUCCCAGUCAUAGUGAACUAUUCUAUUCUAUUCUAUUCUAUUCUAUUCUAUUCUAUUCUAUUCUAUUCUAUUCUAUUCUAUUCUAUUCUAUUCUAAAUUUAGCGUAAUUUCGAAGAGCCAAUAUAAUUUAAUGUAAUUUCAGUUUUUUAAUGAGCCAAGUAAAAAGCUUUGGGCAAGCCAACCAAUCUCCUAAACCUGUGAAGAACAGUCAGUGCCUCUCUUUCUCAGUAUUUAAGUAAUGCUAGCAUUCAGACAUUGAGGGAGAGAGAGAGAGAGAGGAAACAGCUCCUUUUCAGCAUGGGAUGUGGGAGACCUGAAUUCACAUAAUCUGGUUCUGCAAUUACCGCUUCCUGUAUUGGUUUGGGAAACUCUACAACGCCUCCACUUGGACAAGCAGGAAAACCAGUGCUGUGAUACAAUGGGAAGACUGUGCUAGCAUGCUGCUAGAAAAGGAUAUUGCUUAUAUUCCUGUGAAGCUGCCUUUUUGUGUGUUGUGGAAUAUGGCUGUGCUUAAGAAAUUCAGAGUAAUUCUCCAAAACAUUGAGAAACUACUCCCACCUUUGUUACAUAAAAGGGCUACCACAUACUUCUAAACGGGAUAUAACAACGGUAUGAAAAAAAACAUUGUGCUUUAAUGCUUUACCUACAAUUGCACAGAAUUAAAUGAGAAGCAGCAGUAAAACUGUAUUGGCACAGCGGGAAGAAAAAUGUUAGUCAUAACCAUCAACAGAAGAGGAAAUGAUAACUAGACAAAUAAUUGCUGUAACUUGCACUUUGAGUGUUUUGUCAUACCUGUGUUUUCAAUUUUCAGAGCCUAAAUAGUAUUGUUUUUGAAGAUGUACAUCAAAUAACUAUGUCUCAGAGACUUAUUGAUUAGAUUCUCUUUUGGUGCUACAGUUUUCUAUGAGAAGUAUCCUAAAGUGCACAAAGAGGAUUCUUACUGUGAGGUCCAUGUCUUCCACAAAUGUGUCACGCGUGAACUAACAAGCAACCUGGCAAGGAUAUGAAUCUUUUUUCUUUCAUUCUUUAUUAAUCAAAAGUGGUUUACUGACUGUAUGUACAGGUGUAUGGACUCAUAUUUGAGAGAGAUGUUAAGCAUCUUUGAGUACUUGUAGAGAGU
This 1542-nucleotide long non-coding RNA is filed under the name Anas platyrhynchos platyrhynchos (common mallard). Its description in RNAcentral is "lncRNA (ENSAPLG00000020589.1)". The record is from RNAcentral. Lineage: Eukaryota; Metazoa; Chordata; Aves; Anseriformes; Anatidae.